GAAAAUGAGAAUAUUGUUGGCUUGCAUCGUUCCUGCUUUUGGAGGCCACCAUUCCAUCUGCAAAUGGUAUUCUUUCUUGUCCACUUCCCCAUAAAUAUAUGCUCUGCUUCCUUUCUUGACUGGAAUUCGAAAAGAAACUGAAUAACAUUCAUAUCGUAACUGUUGCCAUUAUUGAUGCCUUUCCAUGUUUGAAUAGACCACCUUUUGACUUUGUUCCAUGAGGGAAUUUUGUCAUCCUCUGGGAAGCUAAAACCAACCAUCUGCUAAGAAACCUUUCUUCUUCGCAGAGUAUCUCCUCCUGAUUUUCUGCUCUCACAUCAGAUAUGACCCCCCAUUUUAUCUUUUGAAUGACCUCCUUAUAACUUUCCUCUCCCCUAAGCUUCAUAAACGCAGAGUUCCCCUAUUACUUAGUGACAUGUCUUAUCUCCUUAAUGAUGAAGCUUUCAAUUUUUUUGAUAGAACAGCCCAACCCUCAUUAAAGAUGUUCUCUGGUAAAAUAAAUCACCGAACGUUCAUGGCCAUUAACUAAAACGAUUGAGAUGAACCUAUCAUAUUUAUUGAACUUCAAUGAGCAAUAAAUGUAGGUAGAAAAUUCCUUGCAUCUCCAAGUCUUAAAUGACGUAUCUUCAAUGACAGACGCUUCCCCUAGCCUUUUUCAUAUCCAUGAUAUAGCAUCCCUACUCAGCUUCAUUCUCCUCACGUAUGGCUUUGCACUCUCCACCAACUCAAACAAGUUUCCUUUCGUAUUUCUAAACUCAAUAAUAUCGUAUGAUUUAACCCCAAAUCUGAAAUAUAUUUGUUAUCCAUGGGAAAGAAAGAAUAAGAAAGAAGAAAAAUAAGGGAUUGAGUUUUCUGGCAAAGGAAGUUCACCGGAUUAUGGCUUCCUAAUGACUUGAAGGGUCCCUAGAAAAUUGUCUUGGGAUAAGUGGCUGGGAGAUUUUAAAAGGAGCAUUAAAGAACUGCAAUUUUUGAAUGAUGAUAAAUGGUGUGGAGAUCUGCUUGGAAAGACCUUCGAGGAGGGAAAUAUUCAUGAUCUUGUGAAAGAAGUUCGGAUUUGCUUAAUGAAGUUUGAAUAAUGUUGUUUAGUAUUUUCUUUUUUCCAGUUUGCUGAUACAUAAAAUUAGCAGCUUUUAACCACAUUCUAGUGUAUCUUAUUAGUUCAGAUGGUUCUGUUUAUGUAUACUGCUUUGUGAUGUUACCAUGUUCAGGUCUUUUAGAUGGUAGUAGAACCAAAGCUUCUACAAACGACCAUUGUCUUGGACUAUCCUAUUGAAUUAUCUCCAUUGGAAAAACCACAUAGAAGAAGGUUACAAUCAUUUAAGUGCUUUGAAGACGACUUAAAGAAGGCUUGGAUCUCUCAUUCAUCCAAGUACGGUAGGUCCUCACUUUCAGAGGGAGAUGCCAUUAUCUAUGUAAUGGAUUUUUUCUCACUGUAAGACUAUUAUAUUCUUUCCUUUUUAUUUAGUAUGAAACGUUGUGUAGCCCGCAUGAGGCAUUCUUUGAUGUAUGGGUUAUGCCCAAGUUAUAACACUUAUUAGAUUGU
Molecule: long non-coding RNA, 1543 nt
Organism: Solanum lycopersicum (tomato)
Lineage: Eukaryota; Viridiplantae; Streptophyta; Magnoliopsida; Solanales; Solanaceae
Source: RefSeq, a predicted model, not a curated record